UGUAGUUCCUAGCACUAGCAUGAGAGACCAGCCCGGCUCACUCUGCUGUGAGGCCACCCACGCGAGUGCCAGCAACAGAGAAGUUUGUGAACUGGUAGAGGUGGAGCAAUGGGAACAACCAGUCCAGAAAUGUGAAAUGCAACUUUGGUCCAACUCCUUCCACUAGAAGGCUUACUUACAAAUAGAAAACACAGAGGAUGGUCAUGAACUUUUAGGUAUUUCUGGAGCUGUUUUUCCUUGUCUUAGAUCCAGGACACCACUGAUAUGGGUCUGGUGCAGAUCUGCUGUUGUUAUCAGUCUUACCCUCAGCAAUAAAUAAACACGAUGGUGUGGAGAAGUUUCUAAAGGCUGCUGGAUGGAGUCCUGUACAGACUGUCUGUCACCUGUUAAGUUACAUGUGCUGCUCAUGGGAGUCACACUGUGAUGGCUCAGGUGUCCUGCCAGGUGAAGGAGAUGCAGAGAUGAAGAAACCCAGCCUCUAAGGAGCAUGCAGUCAGUUGGUGGAAUCAGAUUUUAAACGGAGCCCAGCCAGAAGACACUAUGAGAGAGCCAGCCUUGGGUGCUGAGGGAACAUGCUGGAGGCUCAGCUGGUGAAGAGGGAUGGCAUUUAGGAAAAAGACUCAGCAGAAGAGAAACUUGGGCUGAGCACUUAACCCACAGGCAGGAGCAAGAAUGAGCAUUGGUAAGGGCUUGUCAGCUGCUGUCAGGUGCUGAAAAAUUCACCUCUUCCAGGAAGAAUCAACCAAGUCACAUGGCCUAUGAGAUGACACAGUGGAUAAAUCACUGGACUUUUAAGCACGAGGUCCCAAGUUUGAUCCCCUGCAAUUGCAUAUUUCAGAG
Erinaceus europaeus (western European hedgehog) is the source of this 840-nucleotide long non-coding RNA. RefSeq lists it as uncharacterized. Lineage: Eukaryota; Metazoa; Chordata; Mammalia; Eulipotyphla; Erinaceidae. The transcript is spliced from 6 exons. The record is from RefSeq and is a predicted model, not a curated record.